This 468-nucleotide ribosomal RNA is filed under the name uncultured bacterium. RNAcentral describes it as "partial 16S ribosomal RNA". It matches the Rfam family "Bacterial small subunit ribosomal RNA", at positions 28 to 507 of the family's 1533-position model. The record is from RNAcentral.
GAUGAACGCUGGCGGCGUGCUUAAUACAUGCAAGUCGAACGGAAAGGCGCUGCUUUUGUGGGGUGCUCGAGAGGCGCAGGGGUGAGUAAAACGUGUGUAACAUGCCCUUGUAUUUGGGAUAACUUUAGGAAAAAGGGGCUAAUACAGGAUAGGAGAUACUGCUGCGUGGUGGGGGUUGGUAAGUUUCGGCGGUUGGGAAUGAUUUCGCGGGUUAUCCGCUUGUUGGUGGGGUAGUGGCUUUCCCGGGCUUCGAAGGGUACCCGGCCUGUGAGGGUGACCGGCCACACUGAGUCUGACGUAAGGCCCCAGCACCUACGGGAGGCAGCAGUGCGGAAGAUUGAACAAGGGACGGAAGCCGAAUGAUGCAGCGCCUCGUACGGUAUGACGGCCUUCGGGGGGUAAACCGCAUGCGCCUGUGACGAAGCGUGAGUGACGGGAAUGGGUAAAGAAGCACCGGCUAACUUCGUG